This 497-nucleotide ribosomal RNA is filed under the name uncultured bacterium. Its description in RNAcentral is "partial 16S ribosomal RNA". It matches the Rfam family "Bacterial small subunit ribosomal RNA", at positions 28 to 507 of the family's 1533-position model. The record is from RNAcentral.
GAUGAACGCUGGCGGCGUGCCUAAUACAUGCAAGUCGAGCGAACAGAUGAGGAGCUUGCUCCUCUGACGUUAGCGGCGGACGGGUGAGUAACACGUGGAUAACCUACCUAUAAGACUGGGAUAACUUCGGGAAACCGGAGCUAAUACCGGAUAAUAUAUUGAACCGCAUGGUUCAAUAGUGAAAGACGGUUUUGCUGUCACUUAUAGAUGGAUCCGCGCCGCAUUAGCUAGUUGGUAAGGUAACGGCUUACCAAGGCGACGAUGCGUAGCCGACCUGAGAGGGUGGUCGGCCACACUGGAACUGAGACACGGUCCAGACUCCUACGGGAGGCAGCAGUAGGGAAUCGUCCGCAAUGGGCGAAAGCCUGACGGAGCAACGCCGCGUGAGUGAUGAAGGUCUUCGGAUCGUAAAACUCUGUUAUUAGGGAAGAACAAAUGUGUAAGUAACUAUGCACGUCGUGACGGUACCUAAUCAGAAAGCCACGGCUAACUACGUG